UGAAAUGCUUGUGUUCCUAGCUCCAACAGUGCAGAAUUAUCUAACGUGCAGCAGGUCAUCACACAACACGUCAUCAUGAAACAUACAUCAUCAGAGCGCGCAACAGAACAUUGUACUAUCUACACUCGGUUUGUUGUUUAUAUUAAAUACAUUUUUCAUGAAAUCGAUUUUAUUCAGAACUAAAGUUUUGUUGCAAAGGAUUCCACGCCGCGGUUAGCCUUUACGGCUGGGACUGCAAGUUUGUGUUCGAUUUUUUGCAUGGAUUCUGCGAGUGCUAGCUGGCUGUACUACAGACACCUUUCGUCAUCAUGGGAAAGACUCAUUGCUAUCUUUUCGAGUAGCAACAGCUUUACGCUAUGGAGGAACAACAUACUCCGUCAUGGAAAGAUCCGACCACCUCACAAAAGAACUUUAACCCGACAAAAAAAAAGAAAAAUAGAUUUAGCUACAAACACGGACAAUUUACUUACCGUUGAAGUAGAGGCUAGUGCUCUAGCUGGAAUCCAUGCAGCACUGGAAAAGUUGUGUGUGGAGGUAGCAGGGCUGAGGGGGAGUUUGGAGUUCAGCUAGAGUGAAAUUCUUACCCUCCAAGCAGAAAACAAGACACUCAACAGCUAAGGUAUACAGACAAGGAGGCAUACAAAGGUAUGUCAAUUGGUAUUGGUAUGUAUGCACAUCAUACUUACCAUCCUCUCUUUCCUCGUCAAUGAAUAUCCCAUAGGCCUCUACAUUAUGGACCAGAGACUUCACCCUCCCUAAACCUCUAGUAAAUAUAACAGGAAACCUGUUCGAUCACCAUGCACUGCAAAAUCAUUCUGUCUAUGGAUACGGAGAACAUCAACACAUUAACAUCAACACACCAGAAGAUAAACCCAUUGGACUUGGGGCUCUGCUGGGAGUUUACCUUAUAUUUAGAAUAGUUUAUUCUGCUUUGCCACUAAAAUCAUA
Oncorhynchus keta (chum salmon) is the source of this 948-nucleotide long non-coding RNA. RefSeq lists it as uncharacterized. The record is from RefSeq and is a predicted model, not a curated record. The transcript has 3 exons. NCBI's taxonomy places the organism in Eukaryota, Metazoa, Chordata, Actinopteri, Salmoniformes, Salmonidae.